Molecule: long non-coding RNA, 438 nt
Organism: Mytilus californianus (California mussel)
Lineage: Eukaryota; Metazoa; Mollusca; Bivalvia; Mytilida; Mytilidae
Exons: 2
Source: RefSeq, a predicted model, not a curated record
UAUAAACCAAUAAUUCUACAAUUUUCUCAGAAUUUACUAAAACACUUUCUCUCGAGGUGGUUCGUGUUUUCUUUUAAGGAUUUUAUACAUUAAUAUAAAUAUGCGACGGAAAGUAACUAUUAUAUUUCUUUCCAAUAUAUUAGCUGUGUGUUAAAAAUAUGAGGAAUAUGGGUUGGAAUAAAUUAGAAACUCAAAAUAGUUUUCAAAAGAUUUCUGACCUGACUUGCAUCUGGAAUGUUGAUAGGAGAACCGGUGAAAAAUGAAGAGAUGAAUACAAACAAGGAUGAAUAUUAUGAAAAUUUGAACGUCCAUAGGAACUCAUUCUACAAGUAGAAAUAUACAUUACAUAAGUAUUUAUUCAUAUAAUGGGUAUAUUAUGAACACUUUUGGUUAAAUUUUAUAUUCUUAAUAAAACAUUCAAUUAAAUAUUUUUAAUUA